RNAcentral lists this ribosomal RNA (415 nucleotides) under Vibrio parahaemolyticus. Its description in RNAcentral is "bacterial SSU rRNA". It matches the Rfam family "Bacterial small subunit ribosomal RNA", at positions 931 to 1345 of the family's 1533-position model. Lineage: Bacteria; Pseudomonadati; Pseudomonadota; Gammaproteobacteria; Vibrionales; Vibrionaceae. The record is from RNAcentral.
GGUGGAGCAUGUGGUUUAAUUCGAUGCAACGCGAAGAACCUUACCUACUCUUGACAUCCAGCGAAUCCUUUAGAGAUAGAGGAGUGCCUUCGGGAACGCUGAGACAGGUGCUGCAUGGCUGUCGUCAGCUCGUGUUGUGAAAUGUUGGGUUAAGUCCCGCAACGAGCGCAACCCUUAUCCUUUGUUGCCAGCGCGUGAUGGCGGGAACUCAAAGGAGACUGCCGGUGAUAAACCGGAGGAAGGUGGGGAUGACGUCAAGUCAUCAUGGCCCUUACGAGUAGGGCUACACACGUGCUACAAUGGCAGAUACAAAGAGAAGCGACCUCGCGAGAGCAAGCGGAACUCAUAAAGUCUGUCGUAGUCCGGAUUGGAGUCUGCAACUCGACUCCAUGAAGUCGGAAUCGCUAGUAAUCGU